This 461-nucleotide unclassified non-coding RNA is filed under the name Hevea brasiliensis (rubber tree). Lineage: Eukaryota; Viridiplantae; Streptophyta; Magnoliopsida; Malpighiales; Euphorbiaceae. The record is from RNAcentral.
UUACGCUCACAAUCAGAUGCACUAUAAGUGAGGCUAAGCACUUUUAUUGCAAAAUUUCUCAAAUCUGGAGUUGAAGCUCCGUAAGCAUUCCACCAUUCAGCUAUUAAUAAAAUAACGCAUAUUAAUCAUGAUUAAAAAAAAAUUGCAAGACAAGAUUAAAUGCUUAUGAUUAAAAUUAUGUUACCUGGAGAUAUUGCUGUUCGAUUCCUAAUUGUCACAGGCAUCCCAAAUAUGCCAGCACUAUUUUGAUACAAAAGUAGUUGUUUCAUGAUUUUGUCUUGCUCUUGUUGGGUUGGAAUCAACCUUUGUAGAACUGUGUAUAAACCAGUCAUAACCUCUUCAUCUGCAGCAAUCUGAGUAUUUGAAUAAAAAAAUUCAGGAUUUAAAAAUUAUCCGGCAGCAUGCAAAGGACAAUGCAAUUGAAGUGACCAUCUCGCUCAAUAAUCUCAAAAAUGCUCUUG